This 491-nucleotide ribosomal RNA is filed under the name uncultured bacterium. Its description in RNAcentral is "partial 16S ribosomal RNA". It matches the Rfam family "Bacterial small subunit ribosomal RNA", at positions 28 to 507 of the family's 1533-position model. The record is from RNAcentral.
GAUGAGCGCUGGCUACAGGCUUAACACAUGCAAGUCGAGGGGAAACGACGGGGAAGCUUGCUUCCCCGGGCGUCGACCGGCGCACGGGUGAGUAACGCGUAUCCAACCUGCCUCUGACUGAGGGAUAACCCGUCGAAAGUCGGCCUAAUACCUCAUGGCAUCGUCUGCGGGCAUCCAACGACGAUUAAAGAUUUCAUCGGUCAGAGAUGGGGAUGCGUCUGAUUAGCUUGUUGGCGGGGUAACGGCCCACCAAGGCGACGAUCAGUAGGGGUUCUGAGAGGAAGGUCCCCCACAUUGGAACUGAGACACGGUCCAAACUCCUACGGGAGGCAGCAGUGAGGAAUAUUGGUCAAUGGGCGAGAGCCUGAACCAGCCAAGUAGCGUGCAGGAUGACGGCCCUAUGGGUUGUAAACUGCUUUUAUGCGGGGAUAAAGUGAGGGACGUGUCCUUCAUUGCAGGUACCGCAUGAAUAAGGACCGGCUAAUUCCGUG